Molecule: ribosomal RNA, 461 nt
Filed under: uncultured bacterium
Lineage: Bacteria
Description: partial 16S ribosomal RNA
Rfam family: Bacterial small subunit ribosomal RNA
Source: RNAcentral
GACGAACGCUGGCGGCGUGCUUAACACAUGCAAGUCGAACGGAAAGGCCCUUCGGGGUACUCGAGUGGCGAACGGGUGAGUAACACGUGGGUGAUCUGCCCUGCACUUUGGGAUAAGCCUGGGAAACUGGGUCUAAUACCGAAUAGGACCACGCGCUUCAUGGUGUGUGGUGGAAAGCUUUUGCGGUGUGGGAUGGGCCCGCGGCCUAUCAGCUUGUUGGUGGGGUAAUGGCCUACCAAGGCGACGACGGGUAGCCGGCCUGAGAGGGUGACCGGCCACACUGGGACUGAGAUACGGCCCAGACUCCUACGGGAGGCAGCAGUGGGGAAUAUUGCACAAUGGGCGCGAGCCUGAUGCAGCGACGCCGCGUGAGGGAGGACGGCCUUCGGGUUGUAAACCUCUUUCAAUAGGGACGAAGCGCAAGGGACGGUACCUAUAGAAGAAACACCGGCCAACUACGU